GAUGAACGCUGGCGGCGUGCCUAAUACAUGCAAGUCGAGCGAACGGACGAGAAGCUUGCUUUUCUGAUGUUAGCGGCGGACGGGUGAGUAACACGUGGAUAACCUACCUAUAAGACUGGGAUAACUUCGGGAAACCGGAGCUAAUACCGGAUAAUAUUUUGAACCGCAUGGUUCAAAAGUGAAAGACGGUCUUGCUGUCACUUAUAGAUGGAUCCGCGCUGCAUUAGCUAGUUGGUAAGGUAACGGCUUACCAAGGCAACGAUGCAUAGCCGACCUGAGAGGGUGAUCGGCCACACUGGAACUGAGACACGGUCCAGACUCCUACGGGAGGCAGCAGUAGGGAAUCUUCCGCAAUGGGCGAAAGCCUGACGGAGCAACGCCGCGUGAGUGAUGAAGGUCUUCGGAUCGUAAAACUCUGUUAUUAGGGAAGAACAUAUGUGUAAGUAACUGUGCACAUCUUGACGGUACCUAAUCAGAAAGCCACGCUAACUACGUG
Molecule: ribosomal RNA, 496 nt
Filed under: uncultured bacterium
Lineage: Bacteria
Description: partial 16S ribosomal RNA
Rfam family: Bacterial small subunit ribosomal RNA
Source: RNAcentral